UACGGAGGGUGCGAGCGUUGUCCGGAAUCAUUGGGCGUAAAGGGCGCGUAGGUGGCCCCUCAAGCGUGCGGUUAAAGUCAGGGGCUCAACCCCUGAUCGGCCGUGCGAACUGGGGAGCUUGAGCACUGUAGAGGCAGGCGGAAUUCCGGGUGUAGCGGUGGAAUGCGUAGAGAUCCGGAAGAACACCGGUGGCGAAGGCGGCCUGCUGGGCAGUUUUGCUGACACUGAGGCGCGACAGCGUGGGGAGCAAACAGG
This 255-nucleotide ribosomal RNA is filed under the name uncultured bacterium. Its description in RNAcentral is "partial 16S ribosomal RNA". It matches the Rfam family "Bacterial small subunit ribosomal RNA", at positions 524 to 776 of the family's 1533-position model. The record is from RNAcentral.